This 470-nucleotide ribosomal RNA is filed under the name uncultured bacterium. RNAcentral's name for it is "bacterial SSU rRNA". It matches the Rfam family "Bacterial small subunit ribosomal RNA", at positions 330 to 792 of the family's 1533-position model. The record is from RNAcentral.
GCCAGACUCCUACGGGAGGCAGCAGUGGGGAAUAUUGCACAAUGGGCGCAAGCCUGAUGCAGCCAUGCCGCGCUUAUGAAGAAGUCCUUCGGGUUGUAAAGUACUUUCAGCGGGGAGGAAGGCGAUAAGGUUAAUAACCUUGUCGAUUGACGUUACCCGCAGAAGAAGCGCCGGCUCACUCCGUGCCAGCAGCCGCGGUAAUACGGAGGGUGCAAGCUUUAAUCGGAAUUACUGGGCGUAAAGCGCACGCAGGCGGCCUGUCAAGUCGGAGGUGAAAUCCCGGGGCUCAACCUGGGAACUGCAUUCGAAACUGGCAGGCUGGAGUCUUGUAGAGGGGGGUAGAAUUCCAGGUGUAGCGGUGAAAUGCGUAGAGAUCUGGAGGAAUACCGGUGGCGAAGGCGGCCCCCUGGACAAAGACUGACGCUCAGGUGCGAAAGCGUGGGGAGCGAACAGGAUUAGAUACCCCAGUA